UGCAAUCUGUGAUGAAGAUUUUGUCAUUCUAUAUGAUUAACAAGUGAUUAUGUAAAACAAAUUCACCAUCUUUCGACUGAGAUUGCU
RNAcentral lists this small nucleolar RNA (87 nucleotides) under Erythranthe guttata (spotted monkey flower). Lineage: Eukaryota; Viridiplantae; Streptophyta; Magnoliopsida; Lamiales; Phrymaceae. The record is from RNAcentral.